This 497-nucleotide ribosomal RNA is filed under the name uncultured bacterium. RNAcentral's name for it is "partial 16S ribosomal RNA". It matches the Rfam family "Bacterial small subunit ribosomal RNA", at positions 28 to 507 of the family's 1533-position model. The record is from RNAcentral.
GAUGAACGCUGGCGGCGUGCCUAAUACAUGCAAGUCGAGCGAACAGAUGAGGAGCUUGCUCCUCUGACGUUAGCGGCGGACGGGUGAGUAACACGUGGAUAACCUACCUAUAAGACUGGGAUAACUUCGGGAAACCGGAGCUAAUACCGGAUAAUAUAUUGAACCGCAUGGUUCAAUAGUGAAAGACGGUUUUGCUGUCACUUAUAGAUGGAUCCGCGCCGCAUUAGCUAGUUGGUAAGGUAACGGCUUACCAAGGCAACGAUGCGUAGCCGACCUGAGAGGGUGAUCGGCCACACUGGAACUGAGACACGGUCCAGACUCCUACGGGAGGCAGCAGUAGGGAAUCUUCCGCAAUGGGCGAAAGCCUGACGGAGCAACGCCGCGUGAGUGAUGAAGGUCUUCGGAUCGUAAAACUCUGUUAUUAGGGAAGAACAAAUGUGUAAGUAACUAUGCACGUCUUGACGGUACCUAAUCAGAAAGCCACGGCUAAUUACAUG